GAGUUUGAUCCUGGCUCAGAGUGAACGCUGGCGGCGUGCCUAAUACAUGCAAGUCGAACGAUGAAUCUUCUAGCUUGCUAGAAGUGGAUUAGUGGCGCACGGGUGAGUAAUGCAUAGGUUAUGUGCCCUUUAGUCUGGGAUAGCCACUGGAAACGGUGAUUAAUACUGGAUACUCCCUACGGGGGAAAGUUUUUCGCUAAAGGAUCAGCCUAUGUCCUAUCAGCUUGUUGGUGAGGUAAUGGCUCACCAAGGCUAUGACGGGUAUCCGGCCUGAGAGGGUGAUCGGACACACUGGAACUGAGACACGGUCCAGACUCCUACGGGAGGCAGCAGUAGGGAAUAUUGCUCAAUGGGGGAAACCCUGAAGCAGCAACGCCGCGUAAAGGAUGAAGGUUUUAGGAUUGUAAACUCCUUUUGUAGAGAAGA
RNAcentral lists this ribosomal RNA (426 nucleotides) under uncultured bacterium. RNAcentral's name for it is "bacterial SSU rRNA". It matches the Rfam family "Bacterial small subunit ribosomal RNA", at positions 9 to 448 of the family's 1533-position model. The record is from RNAcentral.